This 618-nucleotide ribosomal RNA is filed under the name Rhodococcus sp. (in: high G+C Gram-positive bacteria). RNAcentral's name for it is "bacterial SSU rRNA". It matches the Rfam family "Bacterial small subunit ribosomal RNA", at positions 230 to 859 of the family's 1533-position model. The record is from RNAcentral. Lineage: Bacteria; Bacillati; Actinomycetota; Actinomycetes; Mycobacteriales; Nocardiaceae.
CCCGCGGCCUAUCAGCUUGUUGGUGGGGUAAUGGCCUACCAAGGCGACGACGGGUAGCCGACCUGAGAGGGUGACCGGCCACACUGGGACUGAGACACGGCCCAGACUCCUACGGGAGGCAGCAGUGGGGAAUAUUGCACAAUGGGCGAAAGCCUGAUGCAGCGACGCCGCGUGAGGGAUGACGGCCUUCGGGUUGUAAACCUCUUUCAGCAGGGACGAAGCGCAAGUGACGGUACCUGCAGAAGAAGCACCGGCCAACUACGUGCCAGCAGCCGCGGUAAUACGUAGGGUGCGAGCGUUGUCCGGAAUUACUGGGCGUAAAGAGUUCGUAGGCGGUUUGUCGCGUCGUCUGUGAAAACCCACCGCUCAACGGUGGGCCUGCAGGCGAUACGGGCAGACUUGAGUACUGCAGGGGAGACUGGAAUUCCUGGUGUAGCGGUGAAAUGCGCAGAUAUCAGGAGGAACACCGGUGGCGAAGGCGGGUCUCUGGGCAGUAACUGACGCUGAGGAACGAAAGCGUGGGUAGCAAACAGGAUUAGAUACCCUGGUAGUCCACGCCGUAAACGGUGGGCGCUAGGUGUGGGUUCCUUCCACGGGAUCUGUGCCGUAGCUAACGCA